Potamilus streckersoni is the source of this 69-nucleotide non-coding RNA. The record is from the annotation of a GenBank genome assembly. NCBI's taxonomy places the organism in Eukaryota, Metazoa, Mollusca, Bivalvia, Unionida, Unionidae.
GGUGGCGUAGUGGUUUUGAGCGUCCGCUUCGGAUGCGGGAGGUCGCUGGUUCUAACCCCAGCCGAGUCA